UGAGAAACCCAAAAAGAUCGAAUGGGGAGAUUCAUCGUCAGCGUGAUGCGGCGCUUGUGCGGUUCGCGAUGCCGGGGACUUCGGUCUCAUGGCACGCGUCCGCAUGGUUUAUAGCCCGUCAUCGUCGGCGUGCACUUCUCCCCUAGUAGGACGUCGCGACCCGUUGGGUGUCGGUCUACGGCCCGGGUGGUAGCCUGUCAUGCGUCACGGUUAAUCCCGUCGUGUGGCAGACCCCCGGUGCCUGACCAGCUGCCCGGCGGUACUCGCACGGUAUCGAGCCGCAAUUUUAUUAUUGCGUCCAGCCCGUCGCAAGCUUGGCGAGUGUAUACCCGGAUGUACGGACCUAGCGCCGUCACCGGGCCUAGCCAGCUGUUGGUUGAUGGUGUUCUCGGACUGGCUUUAUUCAUAUGAAAAUACCGGUCGGCGACGCUACAGCUUUGGGUACUUUCAGGACCCGUCUUGAAACACGGACCAAGGAGUCUAACAUGUGCGCGAGUCAUUGGGACAAUUGAAGCCUAAAGGCGUAAUGNAAAGUGAAGGUCAGCCUUGCGCUGACCGAGGGAGGAUGGGCCGCGUCACGAUGCGGUCCCGCACUCCCGGGGCGUCUCGUUCUCAUUGCGAGAUGAGGCGCACCCAGAGCGUACACGUUGGGACCCGAAAGAUGGUGAACUAUGCCUGGUCAGGAUGAAGUCAGGGGAAA
This 700-nucleotide ribosomal RNA is filed under the name Mesochorus sp. BFS-2018. RNAcentral's name for it is "partial 28S large subunit ribosomal RNA". It matches the Rfam family "Eukaryotic large subunit ribosomal RNA", at positions 422 to 861 of the family's 3401-position model. The record is from RNAcentral. Lineage: Eukaryota; Metazoa; Arthropoda; Insecta; Hymenoptera; Ichneumonidae.